Molecule: ribosomal RNA, 490 nt
Filed under: uncultured bacterium
Lineage: Bacteria
Description: partial 16S ribosomal RNA
Rfam family: Bacterial small subunit ribosomal RNA
Source: RNAcentral
GUGAACGCUGGCGGUAGACCUAACACAUGCAAGUCGAACGGCAGCACCGUAAGAGCUUGCUCUUACGGGUGGCGAGUGGCGGACGGGUGAGGAAUACAUCGGAAUCUACUUUUUCGUGGGGGAUAACGUAGGGAAACUUACGCUAAUACCGCAUACGACCUACGGGUGAAAGCAGGGGAUCUUCGGACCUUGCGCGAUUGAAUGAGCCGAUGUCGGAUUAGCUAGUUGGCGGGGUAAAGGCCCACCAAGGCGACGAUCCGUAGCUGGUCUGAGAGGAUGAUCAGCCACACUGGAACUGAGACACGGUCCAGACUCCUACGGGAGGCAGCAGUGGGGAAUAUUGGACAAUGGGCGCAAGCCUGAUCCAGCCAUACCGCGUGGGUGAAGAAGGCCUGCGGGUUGUAAAGCCCUUUUGUUGGGAAAGAAAAGCAGCAGGUUAAUACCCCGCUGUUCUGACGGUACCCAAAGAAUAAGCACCGGCUAACUUCGU